Molecule: ribosomal RNA, 1059 nt
Filed under: uncultured Cryobacterium sp.
Lineage: Bacteria; Bacillati; Actinomycetota; Actinomycetes; Micrococcales; Microbacteriaceae
Description: bacterial SSU rRNA
Rfam family: Bacterial small subunit ribosomal RNA
Source: RNAcentral
UCCUACGGGAGGCAGCAGUGGGGAAUAUUGCACAAUGGGCGCAAGCCUGAUGCAGCAACGCCGCGUGAGGGACGAAGGCCUUCGGGUUGUAAGCCUCUUUUAGUAGGGAAGAAGCGACUGGGUUUUCCUGGGAGUGACGGUACCUGCAGAAAAAGCACCGGCUAACUACGUGCCAGCAGCCGCGGUAAUACGUAGGGUGCAAGCGUUGUCCGGAAUUAUUGGGCGUAAAGAGCUCGUAGGCGGUUUGUCGCGUCUGCUGUGAAAACCCGAGGCUCAACCUCGGGCCUGCAGUGGGUACGGGCAGACUAGAGUGCGGUAGGGGAGAUUGGAAUUCCUGGUGUAGCGGUGGAAUGCGCAGAUAUCAGGAGGAACACCAAUGGCGAAGGCAGAUCUCUGGGCCGUAACUGACGCUGAGGAGCGAAAGCAUGGGGAGCGAACAGGAUUAGAUACCCUGGUAGUCCAUGCCGUAAACGUUGGGAACUAGAUGUGGGGACCAUUCCACGGUCUCCGUGUCGCAGCUAACGCAUUAAGUUCCCCGCCUGGGGAGUACGGCCGCAAGGCUAAAACUCAAAGGAAUUGACGGGGGCCCGCACAAGCGGCAGAGCAUGCGGAUUAAUUCGAUGCAACGCGAAGAACCUUACCAAGGCUUGACAUAUACCGGAAACGGCUGGAAACAGUCGCCCCGCAAGGUCGGUAUACAGGUGGUGCAUGGUUGUCGUCAGCUUGUGUCGUGAGAUGUUGGGUUAAGUCCCGCAACGAGCGCAACCCUCGUCCUAUGUUGCCAGCACGUAAUGGUGGGAACUCAUGGGAUACUGCCGGGGUCAACUCGGAGGAAGGUGGGGAUGACGUCAAAUCAUCAUGCCCCUUAUGUCUUGGGCUUCACGCAUGCUACAAUGGCCGGUACAAAGGGCUGCGAUACCGCAAGGUGGAGCGAAUCCCAAAAAGCCGGUCUCAGUUCGGAUUGAGGUCUGCAACUCGACCUCAUGAAGUCGGAGUCGCUAGUAAUCGCAGAUCAGCAACGCUGCGGUGAAUACGUUCCCGGGCCUUGUACACACCGCC